GAUGAACGCUGGCGGCGUGCCUAAUACAUGCAAGUCGAGCGAACGGAUGAGAAGCUUGCUUCUCUGAUGUUAGCGGCGGACGGGUGAGUAACACGUGGAUAACCUACCUAUAAGACUGGGAUAACUUCGGGAAACCGGAGCUAAUACCGGAUAAUAUUUUGAACCGCAUGGUUCAAAAGUGAAAGACGGUCUUGCUGUCACUUAUAGAUGGAUCCGCGCUGCAUUAGCUAGUUGGUAAGGUAACGGCUUACCAAGGCAACGAUGCAUAGCCGACCUGAGAGGGUGAUCGGCCACACUGGAACUGAGACACGGUCCAGACUCCUACGGGAGGCAGCAGUAGGGAAUCUUCCGCAAUGGGCGAAAGCCUGACGGAGCAACGCCGCGUGAGUGAUGAAGGUCUUCGGAUCGUAAAACUCUGUUAUUAGGGAAGAACAUAUGUGUAAGUAACUGUGCACAUCUUGACGGUACCUAAUCAGAAAGCCACGGCUAACUACGUGCCAGCAGCCGCGGUAAUACGUAGGUGGCAAGCGUUAUCCGGAAUUAUUGGGCGUAAAGCGCGCGUAGGCGGUUUUUUAAGUCUGAUGUGAAAGCCCACGGCUCAACCGUGGAGGGUCAUUGGAAACUGGAAAACUUGAGUGCAGAAGAGGAAAGUGGAAUUCCAUGUGUAGCGGUGAAAUGCGCAGAGAUAUGGAGGAACACCAGUGGCGAAGGCGACUUUCUGGUCUGUAACUGACGCUGAUGUGCGAAAGCGUGGGGAUCAAACAGA
This 766-nucleotide ribosomal RNA is filed under the name Staphylococcus aureus. RNAcentral's name for it is "bacterial SSU rRNA". It matches the Rfam family "Bacterial small subunit ribosomal RNA", at positions 28 to 776 of the family's 1533-position model. The record is from RNAcentral. Lineage: Bacteria; Bacillati; Bacillota; Bacilli; Caryophanales; Staphylococcaceae.